AGAGUUUGAUCAUGGCUCAGAUUGAACGCUGGCGGCAGGCCUAACACAUGCAAGUCGAACGGUGACAGGAAACAGCUUGCUGUUUCGCUGACGAGUGGCGGACGGGUGAGUAAUGUCUGGGAAACUGCCUGAUGGAGGGGGAUAACUACUGGAAACGGUAGCUAAUACCGCAUAACGUCGCAAGACCAAAGAGGGGGACCUUCGGGCCUCUUGCCAUCAGAUGUGCCCAGAUGGGAUUAGCUAGUAGGUGGGGUAACGGCUCACCUAGGCGACGAUCCCUAGCUGGUCUGAGAGGAUGACCAGCCACACUGGAACUGAGACACGGUCCAGACUCCUACGGGAGGCAGCAGUGGGGAAUAUUGCACAAUGGGCGCAAGCCUGAUGCAGCCAUGCCGCGUGUAUGAAGAAGGCCUUCGGGUUGUAAAGUACUUUCAGCGGGGAGGAAGGGAGUAAAGUUAAUACCUUUGCUCAUUGACGUUACCCGCAGAAGAAGCACCGGCUAACUCCGUGCCAGCAGCCGCGGUAAUACGGAGGGUGCAAGCGUUAAUCGGAAUUACUGGGCGUAAAGCGCACGCAGGCGGUUUGUUAAGUCAGAUGUGAAAUCCCCGGGCUCAACCUGGGAACUGCAUCUGAUACUGGCAAGCUUGAGUCUCGUAGAGGGGGGUAGAAUCCCAGGUGUAGCGGUGAAAUGCGUAGAGAUCUGGAGGAAUACCGGUGGCGAAGGCGGCCCCCUGGACGAAGACUGACGCUCAGGUGCGAAAGCGUGGGGAGCAAACAGGAUUAGAUACCCUGGUAGUCCACGCCGUAAACGAUGUCGACUUGGAGGUUGUGCCCUUGAGGCGUGGCUUCCGGAGCUAACGCGUUAAGUCGACCGCCUGGGGAGUACGGCCGCAAGGUUAAAACUCAAAUGAAUUGACGGGGGCCCGCACAAGCGGUGGAGCAUGUGGUUUAAUUCGAUGCAACGCGAAGAACCUUACCUGGUCUUGACAUCCACGGAAGUUUUCAGAGAUGAGAAUGUGCCUUCGGGAACCGUGAGACAGGUGCUGCAUGGCUGUCGUCAGCUCGUGUUGUGAAAUGUUGGGUUAAGUCCCGCAACGAGCGCAACCCUUAUCCUUUGUUGCCAGCGGUCCGGCCGGGAACUCAAAGGAGACUGCCAGUGAUAAACUGGAGGAAGGUGGGGAUGACGUCAAGUCAUCAUGCCCCUCACGACCAGGGCUACACACGUGCUACAAUGGCGCAUACAAAGAGAAGCGACCUCGCGAGAGCAAGCGGACCUCAUAAAGUGCAUCGUAGUCCGGAUUGGAGUCUGCAACUCGACUCCAUGAAGUCGGAAUCGCUAGUAAUCGUGGAUCAGAAUGCCACGGUGAAUACGUUCCCGGGCCUUGUACACACCGCCCGUCACACCAUGGGAGUGGGUUGCAAAAGAAGUAGGUAGCUUAACCUUCGGGAGGGCGCUUACCACUUUGUGAUUCAUGACUGGGGUGAAGUCGUAGCAAGGUAACCGUAGGGGAACCUGCGGUUG
This 1522-nucleotide ribosomal RNA is filed under the name metagenome. Its description in RNAcentral is "bacterial SSU rRNA". It matches the Rfam family "Bacterial small subunit ribosomal RNA". The record is from RNAcentral.